This 628-nucleotide unclassified non-coding RNA is filed under the name Hevea brasiliensis (rubber tree). The record is from RNAcentral. Lineage: Eukaryota; Viridiplantae; Streptophyta; Magnoliopsida; Malpighiales; Euphorbiaceae.
CUUCCCUAUUCCUUCAAAGUUCAUCUUGAUGUGAUUUGAAGAGGAAAUUGCCACAAGAUUGAGAUAGAUAUGUUUGAAUUUAAAAAAAAAGUAAUGCAAUAAGACCUCGUCAUGUUCAUCCUUACUAACAUCCCAUACAAAAAAUGAAAUCUUUUUUAUGGUCUGGAUUUUUUCAAUCACCUUAACGAAGGAGGUGGACUUCAACCAAGCCAGCCCUUCUUAUGAAGUGGCUAUGGAGAUUUCCAAAGGAAAAAAAAAGAAAAAAAGCCAUGGUGCUCAUAUUUGGCUGCUAAGUACCUCUCCAAUGGAAAAAAUGGAUUGACCAACCCACCUCUUAAAUAUCCUGCAUCUAGAAAGGUAUUAUUUGGUACAGAGAGACUUUCAGGCAGAACUUGGGCUAGACUUUGGUUGGGCAAUGGUAAGCUGAUUCGCUUCUGGGAUGAUGUUUGGCCGUGCCACUCUCCUCAGGGAUGCAUGCCAUAAUUUAUAUCAAUUCACAAGGUUCUCAUGACCUCAAAGUGAUAGACUACAUUCAAUAUGAAGGAGAAAAAAGGAUUUAUCUCCCUAUUCAACUGCCCGUCCAAGAGCAUUUGGCUUCAGAAUACUUGUUUUUCUUUUUUUUUUUUUU